AUACGGAGGGGGCUAGCGUUGUUCGGAAUUACUGGGCGUAAAGCGCGCGUAGGCGGUCCGCGUAGUCGGGAGUGAAAGCCCAGGGCUCAACCCUGGAACUGCUUCCGAAACUUUAUGGCUAGAGUCCCGGAGAGGUUGGCGGAAUUCCGAGUGUAGAGGUGAAAUUCGCAGAUAUUCGGAGGAACACCAGUGGCGAAGGCGGCCAACUGGACGGGUACUGACGCUGGGGUACGAAAGCGUGGGGAGCAAACAGGAUUAGAAACCCCGGUAGUCC
This 274-nucleotide ribosomal RNA is filed under the name uncultured bacterium. RNAcentral describes it as "partial 16S ribosomal RNA". It matches the Rfam family "Bacterial small subunit ribosomal RNA", at positions 523 to 796 of the family's 1533-position model. The record is from RNAcentral.